Molecule: transfer RNA, 73 nt
Filed under: Candidatus Collierbacteria bacterium
Lineage: Bacteria; Candidatus Collieribacteriota
Description: tRNA-Lys
Rfam family: tRNA
About the family: Transfer RNA (tRNA) molecules are approximately 80 nucleotides in length. Their secondary structure includes four short double-helical elements and three loops (D, anti-codon, and T loops).
Source: RNAcentral
GGGUCCGUAGCUCAGUCGGUAGAGCAAAUCCCUCUUAAGGAUGCGGUCGUGGGUUCGAAUCCCACCGGGCCCA